Molecule: long non-coding RNA, 952 nt
Filed under: Equus caballus (horse)
Lineage: Eukaryota; Metazoa; Chordata; Mammalia; Perissodactyla; Equidae
Description: lncRNA (ENSECAG00000056593.1)
Source: RNAcentral
AGUGCUCCCGCAUGUUGCAAAGUGGUUCCUUUUCCCCUCCGUCUCUGGGAAGACUGAGGGGAUUUUUCUCCAAUAUUUACGUGAGUGCCUGCUUGAGCUCCUGGAGCUAAAACUUGCAAACUUGUGGAGGUACCCUCCUACGACUGGGUUCCACUGGAGUUUUUAACCCUCAGAGUUGUCCACACUAAACCUCCAGCAAUUAGCAAUGACAAUUCAGUUUGUCCUACUCCUGCACUGCCGAUGGCCACUCCUGAGUCUCUGCUCUGAAUUCAUCUGCUUGGGUGCUGAUAUAGGUUGUUGGAUUUAAUCACGGUAUUUUGGAAAAAACAAGUGGAGCAGACUGGAGUCCUUUGAAGAACUUAAUGCCUUGUAGCUGGGAAGUUUGUAGAUGGUGGCAACAAGGAGAGACAAUGCAUGCUUCUAAAAGUGGUGAUGACCAUAUUUUGAGUUUUAUGAAUUUAUUUUGAGGAGAGAAGAUCUUCGAAGGCAAGAUUAAGACUGAAUCUAUUCUCAGCAUUUCCAAGGUCUACAAUGCAAUUGGUUGUAAAAAGUGGAAACCAAUUCUGAUUUGCAUAAGCCAAAGGUGCCUUAGAAUUCAGCUGGAGAGAUAUAAAGAUAUGAAAAAAGCCUUGUUUACUCUAGCAUAUCACAUGAGAAACAGCUACGAGCCACAGUGGAAUAUAUCCAAAUCUACUAUAGGUUGCAUUAUACCAGAACUUCGAGAGGUCACCAUGCAUAAUGUUUUUCUGCCUGAUUUAUAAAAGAAUAUACUACGGCUCUCCAACAAACUGGAUCAUGAGACAUUGAAAAACACAUCAAAGCUCUUUGGGAGUUUGGAGCACAGCUUUCGAUGCAGGCACAUCUAACUGGGUAUCCCACUUCUGCCAGUGAUCAAAUAUGCGACCUUGGUCAGAGACUUAACUUUCACUGUGUCUUAGCAUCCUCGUCUAUG